UAGGUGGUGGGGGUAAGCCUCCAGGGGAAGUUUUAGGGGUUUGGGGGAGAUUCCCCCCAAUGGGAUGGGACCGGCCCAGAUUCUUAGGGAGCAGCAGUGGGGAAUAUUGACAUGGGGGCAGCCUGAUCCAGCCAUCCGGGUGUGGGAGCAGGCCUUAUGGUUGCAAAGCACUUUAAGGGAGGAGGAGGUUACUUUAGUUAAUACCUAGAGAUAGUGGAUGUUACUCGCAGAAUAAGCACCGGCUAAUUUGUGCCAGCAGCCGCGGUAAUACAGAGGGUGCAAGCGUUAAUUCGGAUUUACUGGGCGUAAAGCGCGCGUAGGCGGCUAAUUAAGUCAAAUGUGACAUCCCCGAGCUUAACUUGGGAAUUGCAUUCGAUACUGGUUAGCUAGAGUGUGGGAGAGGAUGGUAGAAUUCCAGGUGUAGCGGUGAAAUGCGUAGAGAUCUGGAGGAAUACCGAUGGCGAAGGCAGCCAUCUGGCCUAACACUGACGCUGAGGUGCGAAAGCAUGGGGAGCAAACAGGAUUAGAUACCCUGGUAGUCCAUGCCGUAAACGAUGUCUACUAGCCGUUGGGGCCUUUGAGGCUUUAGUGGCGCAGCUAACGCGAUAAGUAGACCGCCUGGGGAGUACGGUCGCAAGACUAAAACUCAAAUGAAUUGACGGGGGCCCGCACAAGCGGUGGAGCAUGUGGUUUAAUUCGAUGCAACGCGAAGAACCUUACCUGGCCUUGACAUAGUAAGAACUUUCCAGAGAUGGAUUGGUGCCUUCGGGAACUUACAUACAGGUGCUGCAUGGCUGUUGUCAGCUCGUGUCGUGAGAUGUUGGGUUAAGUCCCGCAACGAGCGCAACCCUUUUCCUUAUUUGCCAGCGAGUAAUGUCGGGAACUUUAAGGAUACUGCCAGUGACAAACUGGAGGAAGGCGGGGACGACGUCAAGUCAUCAUGGCCCUUACGGCCAGGGCUACACACGUGCUACAAUGGUCGGUACAAAGGGUUGCUACCUAGCGAUAGGAUGCUAAUCUCAAAAAGCCGAUCGUAGUCCGGAUUGGAGUCUGCAACUCGACUCCAUGAAGUCGGAAUCGCUAGUAAUCGCGGAUCAGAAUGCCGCGGUGAAUACGUUCCCGGGCCUUGUACACACCGCCCGUCACACCAUGGGAGUUUGUUGCACCCAGAAGUAGCUUAGCCUUAAGU
RNAcentral lists this ribosomal RNA (1189 nucleotides) under Acinetobacter baumannii. RNAcentral describes it as "bacterial SSU rRNA". It matches the Rfam family "Bacterial small subunit ribosomal RNA", at positions 246 to 1442 of the family's 1533-position model. The record is from RNAcentral. Lineage: Bacteria; Pseudomonadati; Pseudomonadota; Gammaproteobacteria; Moraxellales; Moraxellaceae.